AAAGUCGUAACAAGGUUUCCGUAGGUGAACCUGCGGAAGGAUCAUUACAAGAAACGAGGCUGCGUGCGCUCAUCCGCCCAGCCCCGCUCCUUACCUUGCCUACUGCACCGUUUGUUGCUUCCUGGCGGCAGACUGCCUGCCGCCAGGGACAUUGAAAUAACCUUGUAUGAGCAUUGAAGACCUGAAAUACGCGAAAUCGUACAACUUUCAACAAUGGAUCUCUUGGUUCUG
This 231-nucleotide unclassified non-coding RNA is filed under the name fungal sp. Its description in RNAcentral is "partial internal transcribed spacer region". The stretch from base 1 to 47 matches the Rfam family "Eukaryotic small subunit ribosomal RNA", at positions 1785 to 1831 of the family's 1831-position model. Lineage: Eukaryota; Fungi. The record is from RNAcentral.